GAGUUUGAUUCUGGCUCAGAUUGAACGCUGGCGGCAUGCUUUACACAUGCAAGUCGAACGGCAGCACGAGUGCUUGCACUUGGUGGCGAGUGGCGAACGGGUGAGUAAUGCAUUGGAACGUGCCUUGUAUUGGGGGAUAACUGAGCGAAAGCUUAGCUAAUACCGCAUACGCCCUGAUGGGGAAAGCUGGGGAUCGUUUGACCUGGCGAUAUAAGAGCGGCCAAUGUCUGAUUAGCUAGUUGGUGAGGUAAAGGCUUACCAAGGCGACGAUCAGUAGCGGGUCUGAGAGGAUGAUCCGCCACACUGGGACUGAGAGACGGCCCAGACUCCUACGGGAGGCAGCAGUGGGGAAUUUUGGACAAUGGGGGGAACCCUGAUCCAGCCAUGCCGCGUGUCUGAAGAAGGCCUUCGGGUUGUAAAGGACUUUUGUUGGGGAGCAAAGGUAUCUGGUUAAGAGCUGGAGAUUA
Molecule: ribosomal RNA, 467 nt
Filed under: Aquaspirillum sp. canine oral taxon 091
Lineage: Bacteria; Pseudomonadati; Pseudomonadota; Betaproteobacteria; Neisseriales; Aquaspirillaceae
Description: bacterial SSU rRNA
Rfam family: Bacterial small subunit ribosomal RNA
Source: RNAcentral